Molecule: long non-coding RNA, 2229 nt
Filed under: Homo sapiens (human)
Lineage: Eukaryota; Metazoa; Chordata; Mammalia; Primates; Hominidae
Description: androgen receptor regulated long noncoding RNA 1, transcript variant 2 (ARLNC1)
Source: RNAcentral
UUUCUUUUUGUUUGCUGCCUUCCGUAGAAGAUGUGGCUUGCUCAUGCUUGACUUCUGCCAUGGUUGUGAGGCCUCCCCAGCCAUGUGGAACUGUUUUCAGGUGCUGGUUCCAUGGCUCUUCCUGAGCCGAAAAUAAGGAAACUCCAUAGACCUUGUCCACUGGAACUCGUUCCCAUCUACCCUCCACUCUAUCCAGGGUGAUGGAUCUCUGCAGUAAGUGGAAGAGUUCUUCAUGGCCCCCAAGGUUAUAUCCAUCUAGAACUUCAGCACGUAAUUUCAUCUGGAAAUAGUGCCUUUGCGGAUAUAAGUUAGGUAAAACUGAAGAUGAGAUCAUACUGGAUUAGGAUGGGAUCUAAAUCCAAUGAAAAUGUCUUCAUAAAAAACAGGAAAGAACCCAUAGAAACACAAGGAAGAAGGUCAUGUGAAGAUGGAGGCAGAGAUUGGAGGGAUGCAGCCACCGGCCCAGGAAUGCCAGCAGCCACCCAGAAGCUGGAAGGAAAUGAGGGAUUCUCUCCUAGAACCUUUAGAGAGAACAUGGUCCUGUGAACAGCUUGAUUUUGGACUUGCCCAUAGCUUGUAUACUCUUACUUUGGAUACAAUUUUAUCCAAACUUGGCUAAACAGUUUCUCAGCCUAUGGAAAAUUUAAAAUGGAGAAGAUUCAACUCGAUUCUUACAGAUUCAAAGCAAGAAAAUGAUGGGAACAUAGGAGGAGACCAAGAAAGCCUAUAAAAAGCAAAAAUAUGAAGUGAACAUUGUGGUAGCUUUAAGAUGUUUAGUGUAGCUGCAGGCACCCUAUACACAUGAAAACCCCCAAGGGGAAUCCCCAUAUCACAGUGUAGUGUGAUAUUUGACAUUCGUGAUCAUCUAGAGAUGUACAGAAAAGGUGAAUCUGUGUUCUGUAUAUUCUGCCUAAGGCAAAGAAAUGUUUAGCUCUCUUUAAAAUAGUUCCAUAAUUUUUUCUAAAAAGCUUUGCUUGAAAACUGUAAGCUUCCCAUAUCUGGAGCAUUUCACUUUAAAUAUUUGGAUAAAUAUGUUAUCUUCUUACUUGGACAUUUCAUGUGUUUAGGGAUUGUCUUCUAAAUUCUUCCUAAUUCAUAUAGCUGCUAACACUUCCCGCAGAGCUAAACCAUUACAGAUAUGAAAUAAAGACCUAUUGAUUUGACUUACUUUUACUUGUAAAACCUUCUGAGUGUUAUAACCUCAUUUAAUCUUUCAGCAUUUACAGUUUCAAGAGUUUGUGUCACAAUUAGAAGAAUUCAGCUGCACCUCCAAGUGACAGCAGUUGCUCUGGUUGGUGGGUGAUCUCAGGAGGCUUGAGAAUUGCUUUGUCUGUGAGGGAAGUAAGACAUUUUCAGAGCCCCACUUUAGAAGGUGUGAACUGGCUAGAUAAUGAACCCCAGGGCUAACGCUGCUAUAGCAGUGGGAAGGAGGUGAUGGGUUUUCAGUUUGGACCUCAAACAUCAAUACCCUCCUGGUACGGGGAGGAACAGAGUCCCUCCUUUACUUCUCCAUUAGAAAGAAUGAGAUGGCAAGACAAUGAAACAGGCAAAGUGAACAGAGAUGCAAGACAAAAUUCAGGUGAGAGAGCCAGAGCAUCACUCAGCCAUUCCUGACAUGUAAAACAGGCAACUAGAAAUUUGCAGAAAGGAAGCGAAGUCUCCAUAAAGAUGUUUUUAAAGUGAGCUUGAAGUAUUUGGAGACAAUUCAGUGUUACAUAAAAUCUGCAAAUCUCUGGAUAAAGAAGCAGAGAUCCCAGCAUGGGACAAAUGGAGCCUCAAAAGUGGGAAGAAGACAGAGAAGACCAGGGCAGAAUGCAUCUCUUCCUUUCUCUUGGCUUUCCUGGAUAAGGACUGCAUCAUUCCUGUGGAAGGACAGGCCAUCAGCUCCGAAACACUGUAUGUAUUUUCCAGUAUAUACUGCUAGCUGUGUGAUGUUGGGAAAAUUUGUUACCCUGUCUAACCCCCACUUCCCUCAUCUGUAAAAUGGAAAUAAUGAUAGUACCUACCUAUCUCAUAGGUGGCAACUACAAGGGGCAGCACACUCAGGGAAUUAAGGAAGUUUCAGUGAACAUCAACUUUAUGAACACAGUGUUCAUAAAGGCAGGUCAGUGCAGUGGUUUGGGAGCCAGGAGAAGCACGUGGGCCGGAGUGUGCCUGCAGGAGACAAGGUCAGAGAUGUUGCUAAUAAUGGAGAAUAAAGGAUGCAUUCUCAUUACUGAAAAAAAAAAA